GACGUAGGGGGCGAGCGUUGUCCGGAUUUAUUGGGCGUAAAGAGCUCGUAGGCGGUCUGUUGCGUCCGCUGUGAAAACCCGGGGCUUAACCCCUGGCUUGCAGUGGAUACGGACAGACUAGAGGUAGGUAGGGGAGAAUGGAAUUCCCGGUGUAGCGGUGAAAUGCGCAGAUAUCGGGAGGAACACCUAUGGCGAAGGCAGCUCGCUGGGACGGUACUGACGCUGAGACGCGAAAGCGUGGGGAGCAAACAGG
This 253-nucleotide ribosomal RNA is filed under the name uncultured bacterium. RNAcentral's name for it is "partial 16S ribosomal RNA". It matches the Rfam family "Bacterial small subunit ribosomal RNA", at positions 524 to 776 of the family's 1533-position model. The record is from RNAcentral.